GCAUUGGUGGUUCAGUGGUAGAACUCUCGGCUGCCAUGCGGGAGUUCCAGGUGCGACUCCCGGCCAAUGCA
This is a non-coding RNA of Danio rerio (zebrafish), 71 nucleotides long. Lineage: Eukaryota; Metazoa; Chordata; Actinopteri; Cypriniformes; Danionidae. The record is from Rfam.